AUGCUCACUUUGGCAGCACAUAUACUAAAACUGGAACAAUACAGAGAAGAUUAGCAUGGCCCCUGUGCAAGGAUGACACACAAAUUCAUGAAGCAUUCCACAUUUUU
RNAcentral lists this small nuclear RNA (107 nucleotides) under Myotis brandtii (Brandt's bat). Lineage: Eukaryota; Metazoa; Chordata; Mammalia; Chiroptera; Vespertilionidae. The record is from RNAcentral.